AUGCAUGUUUCCCAUCACAUGUAUGCAGCCAUGUAUGCCAAGCAAGGCUGGCCUCAGACGGGUGCCACAACUUGGGGUGUCUUUGGCUCGCUUGUGAAGGAUAGUAAGGGGAAGAGGCAAGGUUGUGCUGCUACACCUCGUCAUUUGUCCGCUCGGUCUGCAAUGCUCUCCAACGACAGGUUGGAGAUGAAGUGGUUGCACGCGAAGUGA
RNAcentral lists this ribosomal RNA (210 nucleotides) under Triticum aestivum (bread wheat). RNAcentral's name for it is "partial small subunit ribosomal RNA". Lineage: Eukaryota; Viridiplantae; Streptophyta; Magnoliopsida; Poales; Poaceae. The record is from RNAcentral.